This is a long non-coding RNA of Papaver somniferum (opium poppy), 847 nucleotides long. RefSeq lists it as uncharacterized. The record is from RefSeq and is a predicted model, not a curated record. NCBI's taxonomy places the organism in Eukaryota, Viridiplantae, Streptophyta, Magnoliopsida, Ranunculales, Papaveraceae. The transcript has 6 exons.
GUCAGUGAAACGUCUCUGUAAAACUCAAGCUGUUCUCCCGUAGAUGGUAGUUCACCUUUCGCUUGAAACGUCAAAUUUUGGGAAUCGGGCAUCAAUAAGAAGUAGCAACAUCUCUUUUCAUGUAAAACAACAUUGGCUCGAUUUUGAUAAGCCCUAAAAAGUUUCAUUGCUGGAGCACCAAAAAUUUCCAUCGCGGAGUGACCUUCUCAUGGUGGAUUUAGCAAAAAAAAAAAUUUGAUGUUCCUGCAGAUGGAGAAAUUGGGGAUGGAGAUUAUCUUAGUUUGGAAUGAGAGGCUGAGGUGCAAGGAUCUAAAAAUAUUGGAGGAAAAGACUGUUUGGAGCUUGAAUGAAAUUAUGUUACUAUUUCGGUUAUGAAUACUUGGGAAGAUUGCAGUGGAGAGUGGAGACUAUAUCUCCCAGAUCUAUAUCUGGCUAAGCAGGUGGCGUGACAUAUAAAAUUUAACAGCCAUUUUGGAUCGGUUCCAGCCAGCCAGUUUGUCAUCUAGCCUGCUGUUGUUGCUAAUUCAACUUUCAUAAUUUGCACAUGAAGCCAUUUAGAGGCUAUAAGAAAACUACAUCUUGCAACUGAAGCAUCUGCACAACGUACAAUCAAGUUGCCAUCCCCCCAUAAGGAAGGCAUAUGUACUAAACAAAUUAUGCCUGGGGUCAUACCACUUACGAAUUAAGCAUUGCUCAUUUUUUUUUUUAUAAAUAUUUUGUAACUUUAGAUUCGAUGGUUGAUUCAUAUGCUGUGAUAGAUUAUUUGCAUACAUUGUAAUUCUAGAAUGUAAAAACUUGAAUUUUGGGACGCUUGCUCCGUCGGAAAUGGAGGCCAGAUAUCUGUUUA